AGCCACUUAGCUUUGAAACUGAAUUUUAACAAUGUUCCAAAAGGAGAAAUAAGGUAUAGCAUCUCACUACAAAUCCUCCAUCUCAAAACAUGGGGCCUGGAGUGGCCCCCCAAGACCCUACCCCUAAAACAAACUGGCUGUGGAUAUGGUGACAGAUUAGAAAGUUAAACCCUUCACCUCCAUGAAAGAAUCUGGAAUGGAGGCCAGAAACCUGGUCCACAUAUUCCUCUUGGAUCAUGAAGGCAGCUAAGUUGGCAGUGUAGCUGGCCAGGAAGAUGACAGCAAAGAAGGCCCACACUGACACCAUGAUCUUGGAGGUGGUCCCCUUUGGGUUCUGCACAGAUGUUCCACUUCUCACUGGUGCCACACAGGCUGGGAUAUAGGUCAUGGCUUCUGGAUGAAGCACAGGUGGAAGGCCCCUGAUUGUACCAUGCCAUGGAGACACCCCAACUCCCACCUCAGAAUACACAAACCAAAUUAAAAGCAAACCCAUCAUUUACCUAAGAAGGCAGAAGGUGAGACAGUCCCAUUGCUGCGUGACACCAUGACACUGAUGCCUGUCUCUAUGAAGGGCACAGAGAAGUCGACCACCUCCGAUCGUUCCUCAUUGAUGAUGGCUACAGAGGAGUUUGAUGACUUGCCCAAGCUCCCACGGUAAGUGACUUGAAGCUGAGCAGUCUGACUCCAGAGCUUGGACUCCUACCCACCACUCUGCACUGCUUCUCUGACAAUGAAGGAGUAAGACAUGUUCCUUUUCCUCCAAGGACAGUCUAGAGGGAAAAGACACUAUCCAUCGACAAUAAUAGGCUUUGGUAAUUACUCUAAUAUCCACUAUCCAUUGACAAGUUAGGCUUUGGUAAUUACUGUAAUAAAAGAUAUAAAUAAAGUACUCCGGCAUUCAGA
Long non-coding RNA from Homo sapiens (human), 903 nucleotides. RefSeq lists it as uncharacterized. The record is from RefSeq and is a predicted model, not a curated record. Lineage: Eukaryota; Metazoa; Chordata; Mammalia; Primates; Hominidae. The transcript is spliced from 5 exons.